Molecule: long non-coding RNA, 616 nt
Filed under: Parus major (Great Tit)
Lineage: Eukaryota; Metazoa; Chordata; Aves; Passeriformes; Paridae
Description: lncRNA (ENSPMJG00000004482.1)
Source: RNAcentral
CCAGGUCCUGCAGAGCCUGGAGGGGAUCCCGCUGCCAACAGGUGAGAACAGACAGGUGAGAGGGGACAGGUGAGAGGGGACAGGUGAGGACAGGUGAGGACAGGUGAGAACAGGUGAGACAUGGACAGGUGAGACAGGUGAGACAUGGACAGGUGAGACAGGUGAGACAGGUGAGACAGGUGAGACAUGGACAGGUGAGACAGGUGAGGACAGACAGGUGAGAACAGGUGAGACAUGGACAGGUGAGGGACAGGUGGGACAGGGACAGGUGAGAGGGGACAGGGACAGAUGGACACAGUGACAAUGCCAAGGUGACAAUGACAGAGGUGACAGUGACAGAGGUGACAAAGGUGACAGUUCCAGCUCACCACGUCCACCUGCAGCAGCAGCACCUGGAUGGGGACAGGUGAGGGACAGGUGGGACAGGGACAGGUGAGGGGACAGGUGGGACAGGGACAGGUGCGAGGGGACAGGGACACAGUGACACGGUGACAAUGCCAAGGUGACAAUGCCAAGGUGACAGAGGUGACAGUGACAGAGGUGACAGAGGUGACAGUGCCAGCUCACCACGUCCACCUGCAGCAGCAGCACCUGGAGGCCGAAGCUCCGCCCCAGA